RNAcentral lists this ribosomal RNA (796 nucleotides) under uncultured bacterium. RNAcentral's name for it is "bacterial SSU rRNA". It matches the Rfam family "Bacterial small subunit ribosomal RNA", at positions 116 to 911 of the family's 1533-position model. The record is from RNAcentral.
CGUACACAACCUACCCUAAAGAGGGGGAUAGCUCUUGGAAACGAGGAAUAAUACCCCAUAGUACUUAUUGGUCGCAUGAUUGGUAAGUUAAAGGUUUACUGCUUUAGGAUGGGUGUGCGGGCCAUUAGGUAGUUGGAGAGGUAACGGCUCACCAAGCCUACGAUGGUUAGCUGGUCUGAGAGGAUGAUCAGCCACACGGGCACUGAGACACGGGCCCGACUCCUACGGGAGGCAGCAGUAAGGAAUAUUGGACAAUGGGCGAAAGCCUGAUCCAGCCACGCCGCGUGCAGGAUGAAGGUCCUCUGGAUUGUAAACUGCUUUUGACAGAGACGAACUGUCGGGAUUUAUCCUGAAUUGACGGUAUCUGUCGAAUAAGCACCGGCUAACUACGUGCCAGCAGCCGCGGUAAUACGUAGGGUGCAAGCGUUAUCCGGAUUUACUGGGUUUAAAGGGUCCGCAGGCGGUUUGAUAAGUCAGUGGUGAAAUAACAGGGCUCAACCUUGUUGCUGCCAUUGAUACUGUUGAACUUGAGAUUAGUAGAGGUGGGCGGAAUGUAGCAUGUAGCGGUGAAAUGCGUAGAUAUGCUACAGAACACCGAUUGCGAAGGCAGCUCACUGGACUACAUCUGACGCUAAUGGACGAAAGCGUGGGUAGCGAACAGGAUUAGAUACCCUGGUAGUCCACGCCCUAAACGAUGUUUACUCGACAUAUGGACGAUUAGGUGUAUGUGUCUAAGCGAAAGCGUUAAGUAAACCACCUGGGGAGUACGUCGGCAACGAUGAAACUCAAAGGAAUU